ACAUUUUCGUGGGCUAUAGGCUUACCAUUUUUUCAGUGAAAUCAAAUUUUCAGAUCUGUGUUUAUUCAUGCCAUUCAUCGACGAGAGCUCGUGUAUUAGCAUGGGCAGUGAUGUAGGUGCCAAUCCAGCGAUUUAUCAAAAGGUGAGUGGACCCGGCUUUCAACAUUUUCGUGGGCUAUAGGCUUACCAUUUUUUCAGUGAAAUCAAAUUUUCAGAUCUGUGUUUAUUCAUACCAAUUAUCGACGAGAGCUCGUGUAUUAGCAUGGGCAGUGAUGUAUGUGCCAAUCCAGCGAUUUAUCAAAAGGUGAGUGGACCCGGCUUUCAACAUUUUCGUGGGCUAUAGGCUUAGCAUUUUUUCAGUGAAAUCAAAUUUUCAGAUCUGUGUUUAUUCAUGCCAUUCAUCGACGAGAGCUCGUGUAUUAGCAUGGGCAGUUAUGUAGGUGCCAAUCCAGCGAUUUAUCGAAAGGUGA
Long non-coding RNA from Dermacentor silvarum, 470 nucleotides. RefSeq lists it as uncharacterized. Lineage: Eukaryota; Metazoa; Arthropoda; Arachnida; Ixodida; Ixodidae. The transcript is spliced from 3 exons. The record is from RefSeq and is a predicted model, not a curated record.